GAUGAACGCUGGCGGUGUGCCUAAUACAUGCAAGUCGAGCGAACGGACGAGAAGCUUGCUUCUCUGAUGUUAGCGGCGGACGGGUGAGUAACACGUGGAUAACCUACCUAUAAGACUGGGAUAACUUCGGGAAACCGGAGCUAAUACCGGAUAAUAUUUUGAACCGCAUGGUUCAAAAGUGAAAGACGGUCUUGCUGUCACUUAUAGAUGGAUCCGCGCUGCAUUAGCUAGUUGGUAAGGUAACGGCUUACCAAGGCAACGAUGCAUAGCCGACCUGAGAGGGUGAUCGGCCACACUGGAACUGAGACACGGUCCAGACUCCUACGGGAGGCAGCAGUAGGGAAUCUUCCGCAAUGGGCGAAAGCCUGACGGAGCAACGCCGCGUGAGUGAUGAAGGUCUUCGGAUCGUAAAACUCUGUUAUUAGGGAAGAACAUAUGUGUAAGUAACUGUGCACAUCUUGACGGUACCUAAUCAGAAAGCCACGGCUAACUACG
RNAcentral lists this ribosomal RNA (495 nucleotides) under uncultured bacterium. RNAcentral's name for it is "partial 16S ribosomal RNA". It matches the Rfam family "Bacterial small subunit ribosomal RNA", at positions 28 to 505 of the family's 1533-position model. The record is from RNAcentral.